RNAcentral lists this ribosomal RNA (253 nucleotides) under uncultured prokaryote. Its description in RNAcentral is "partial 16S ribosomal RNA". It matches the Rfam family "Bacterial small subunit ribosomal RNA", at positions 525 to 777 of the family's 1533-position model. The record is from RNAcentral.
ACGGAGGGUGCAAGCGUUAUCCGGAUUCACUGGGUUUAAAGGGUGCGUAGGUGGGCAGGAAAGUCAGUGGUGAAAUCUCCGGGCUUAACCCGGAAACUGCCGUUGAUACUAUAUAUCUUGAAUGUCGUAGAGGUAAGCGGAAUAUGUCAUGUAGCGGUGAAAUGCUUAGAGAUGACAUAGAACACCAAUUGCGAAGGCAGCUUACUAUGCGAAUAUUGACACUGAGGCACGAAAGCGUGGGUAGCAAACAGGA